This 465-nucleotide ribosomal RNA is filed under the name uncultured bacterium. RNAcentral describes it as "partial 16S ribosomal RNA". It matches the Rfam family "Bacterial small subunit ribosomal RNA", at positions 28 to 507 of the family's 1533-position model. The record is from RNAcentral.
GACGAACGCUGGCGGCGUGCUUAACACAUGCAAGUCGAACGGAAAGGCCCUGCUUGCAGGGUACUCGAGUGGCGAACGGGUGAGUAACACGUGGGUGAUCUGCCCUGCACUUCGGGAUAAGCCUGGGAAACUGGGUCUAAUACCGGAUAGGAGCCAUUCUUAGUGUGAUGGUUGGAAAGUUUUUUCGGUGUAGGAUGAGCUCGCGGCCUAUCAGCUUGUUGGUGGGGUAAUGGCCUACCAAGGCGGCGGCGGGUAGCCGGCCUGAGAGGGUGGACGGCCACAUUGGGGCUGGGAUACGGCCCAGACUCCUACGGGAGGCAGCAGGGGGGAAUAUUGCACAAUGGGCGCAAGGCUGAUGCAGCGACGCCGCGUGGGGGAUGACGGCCUUCGGGUUGUAAACUCCUUUCGCUAGGGACGAAGCUUUUUGGGACGGUACCUAGAGAAGAAGCACCGGCUAACUACGUG